GACGAACGCUGGCGGCGUGCUUAACACAUGCAAGUCGAACGGAAAGGCCCUGCUUUUGUGGGGUGCUCGAUUGGCGAACGGGUGAGUAACACGUGAGUAACCUGCCCUUGUCUUUGGGAUAUCUUCAGGAAACUGGGGCUAAUACCGGAUAGGAGCUCCUGCUGCAUGGUGGGGGUUGGAAAGUUUCGGCUGUUGGGGAUGGACUCGCAGCUUAUCAGCUUGUUGGUGGGGUAGUGGCUUACCAAGGGUUUGACGGGUAACCGGCCUGAGAGGGUGACCGGCGACAAUGGGACUGAGAUACGGCCCAGAAUCCAACGGGAGGCAGCAGGGGGGAAUAUUGCACAAUGGGCGGAAGCCAGAGGCAGAAACGCCGCGUGCGGGAUGACGGCCUACGGGGUGAAAACAGAUUUGGAAUGUGACGAAGAGUGAGUGACGGUAAUGGGUAAAGAAGCACCGGCUAACUACGUG
This 468-nucleotide ribosomal RNA is filed under the name uncultured bacterium. Its description in RNAcentral is "partial 16S ribosomal RNA". It matches the Rfam family "Bacterial small subunit ribosomal RNA", at positions 28 to 507 of the family's 1533-position model. The record is from RNAcentral.